AUUGAACGCUGGCGGCAGGCUUAACACAUGCAAGUCGAGCGGAAACGAUGUAGCUUGCUACAGGCGUCGAGCGGCGGACGGGUGAGUAACGCGUAGGAAUCUGCCUAGUAGUGGGGGACAACAUGUGGAAACGCAUGCUAAUACCGCAUACGCCCUACGGGGGAAAGGAGGGGAUCUUCGGACCUUUCGCUAUUAGAUGAGCCUGCGUAAGAUUAGCUAGUUGGUAGGGUAAAGGCCUACCAAGGCGACGAUCUUUAACUGGUCUGAGAGGAUGGCUAGUCACACUGGGACUGAGACACGGCCCAGACUCCUACGGGAGGCAGCAGUGGGGAAUAUUGGACAAUGGGCGCAAGCCUGAUCCAGCCAUGCCGCGUGUGUGAAGAAGGCCUUAGGGUUGUAAAGCACUUUCAGGGGUGAGGAAGGGUGUUUGGUUAAUAUCCAAACAUUUUGACGUUAGCCCCAGAAGAAGCACCGGCUAACUCUGUG
Molecule: ribosomal RNA, 486 nt
Filed under: uncultured bacterium
Lineage: Bacteria
Description: partial 16S ribosomal RNA
Rfam family: Bacterial small subunit ribosomal RNA
Source: RNAcentral